Molecule: unclassified non-coding RNA, 352 nt
Filed under: soil metagenome
Description: partial contains 5.8S ribosomal RNA, internal transcribed spacer 2, and large subunit ribosomal RNA
Rfam family: 5.8S ribosomal RNA (bases 1-120)
Source: RNAcentral
GAUGAAGAACGCAGCGAAAUGCGAUACGUAGUGUGAAUUGCAGAAUCCAGUGAAUCAUCGAAUCUUUGAACGCACAUUGCGCCCGCCAGUAUUCUGGCGGGCAUGCCUGUUCGAGCGUCAUUACAACCCUCAGGCCCCCGGGCCUGGCGUUGGGGAUCGGCGGAGCCCCCCGUGGGCACACGCCGUCCCCCAAAUGCAGUGGCGGUCCCGCCGCAGCUUCCAUCGCGUAGUAGCUAACACCUCGCGACUGGAGAGCGGCGCGGCCACGCCGUAAAACACCCAACUCUUCUGAAGUUGACCUCGAAUCAGGUAGGAAUACCCGCUGAACUUAAGCAUAUCAAUAAGCGGAGGA